AACGAACGCUGGCGGCAUGCCUAACACAUGCAAGUCGAACGAGACCUUCGGGUCUAGUGGCGCACGGGUGCGUAACGCGUGGGAACCUGCCCUUAGGUUCGGAAUAACUCCCCGAAAGGGGUGCUAAUACCGGAUAAUGUCUUCGGACCAAAGAUUUAUCGCCUUUGGAUGGGCCCGCGUUGGAUUAGCUAGUUGGUAGGGUAAAAGCCUACCAAGGCGACGAUCCAUAGCUGGUCAGAGAGGAUGAUCAGCCACACUGGGACUGGGACACGGCCCAGACUCCUACGGGAGGCAGCAGUGGGGAAUAUUGGACAAUGGGGGAAAGCCUGAUCCAGCAAUGCCGCGUGAGUGAUGAAGGCCUUAGGGAUGUAAAGCUCUUUUACCCGGGAUGAUAAUGACAGUACCGGGAGAAUAAGCUCCGGCUAACUCCGUG
This 433-nucleotide ribosomal RNA is filed under the name uncultured bacterium. RNAcentral describes it as "partial 16S ribosomal RNA". It matches the Rfam family "Bacterial small subunit ribosomal RNA", at positions 29 to 507 of the family's 1533-position model. The record is from RNAcentral.